GACUACUGGGGUAUCUAAUCCUGUUUGCUCCCCACGCUUUCGCGCCUCAGCGUCAGUUGUCGUCCAGCAAGCCGCCUUCGCCACUGGUGUUCCUCCUAAUAUCUACGCAUUUCACCGCUACACUAGGAAUUCCACUUGCCUCUCCGAUACUCAAGAACGACAGUUUCAAAUGCAGUUUGAGGGUUGAGCCCCCAGAUUUCACAUCUGACUUGCCAUCCCGCCUACGCGCCCUUUACACCCAGUAAAUCCGGACAACGCUUGCCACCUACGUAUUACCGCGGCUGCUGGCACGUAGUUAGCCGUGGCUUAUUCAUGGAGUACCGUCACUUCUUCGUCCUCCAUAAAAGAAGUUUACAACCCGAAGGCCUUCUUCCUUCACGCGGCGUUGCUGGGUCAGGCUUUCGCCCAUUGCCCAAUAUUCCCCACUGCAGCCCCCCGUAGG
Molecule: ribosomal RNA, 442 nt
Filed under: uncultured Oscillospiraceae bacterium
Lineage: Bacteria; Bacillati; Bacillota; Clostridia; Eubacteriales; Oscillospiraceae
Description: partial 16S ribosomal RNA
Source: RNAcentral